GCCUGGCCCGCGAGGCCCCACCCAGCGCCCAGGGGCCGAGCCGGGCGCGCUCGCGCCCGGCGUGCGGCGGCCCGCGCCCCUCGCUCCCGCGGAAGGGGGAGGGAGGGGGUCUGUGGCUGGCGCGCGCCAGGGGGCCAGGCCCUCAAAUCCGCGGCCCUUGGGCCCCCGCUCCUCCCCUCCCCGCCCCCGCCGACCGUGGCCCCGUCAGCGGAAACCCGGCUUUUCCGGGACUCGGUCCCGGCAGCGAGGGGGUUGCUGCGGGAGCGCGCCUCGGCCCCUCUCGUCUGCGGAGCCUAAGCCGGGGAACUUGCUCUCCGCCUGCCGACCUGGCCCUGCCCUGCGGCGCCAGCAAACGGAGCGGUCGGCGGAGACCCGGGGCCCGUCGCCACCGCGGGUGCCUGUGAUCCGGGAAGCCUCCGCCCUGAGAGCAGGCGGGGGCUCAGGAACCUGGAGUCCAUAAGGUUCUUCGCACGAGUGAAUUCUCAAGCUAUGCCGGGGCCCAUCUGAAGCCAAGCUUCCUCUUUCCCUACAGCUCCCCUACCCCCAAAAUCCUUCCUCGAUGCUUUGUCGCUUACAGAUUUCUGAAAUUCCAUUCCUCCUAAGGCCUAGCACAGCUGCAACAUCCUAUCUGGAUCACCACCCCCUCAAACCAUCGUGAACCCUCCAGCAAGUGAGCGCCUAGUGCACUUACACCAACAGUGGCACCACAGCAGGGCCAGACUCCCCUCCCCACAGGCUGGCAAGUGCCCAAGGGAGCCAGUGGUCCAGCCUGCUCCAGUGUGUCAGAAAGGCUGUCCAGGACCAGGGGAUUUGAACCUGGAGAAAGCAAGUCCCUCCAUCCCACACACACAAAUCCCAGCGACUACUGUUGCUUGAACCCAAGGACUCACACGGACUCAAGACAAUUUAGCUUUUAAGCUAUGUUCUCGAACAGAUUCCUCUCAGACUUGGCUGAGCUCCUCCCCAUCACCGUCCUUAAAGAGGGCAGCCCACUGGAGAUUUCUAAGAUUUCCAAAUCUAAGGAAGUGCAGGGCAGCAAGCAGAGGCCACCCUCACUCUGACCACUAGGGGGCACUACGCCACUGGAAAUCGGCAGGCCAGGGUCCCUGGCUCUCACUCAGCCCAGCCCCCUGGAAGCACCUACCUUCUGUUUGGCAGCAUGCUCAGCCACCAUGUCGCUGAAGUCCUCCUUCUCCACUUGAGCCUGCUGCUCCCGCACAUGCUCCUCAUACUUCUGGGUCAUGGCCAUAGGAUCCAGCUCCAACUCUUCAGGCGCCAGGGCCACUUCCACACCUUGCAGCUCAGGAGCCGGGCCCUUCCGGCUCAUAACCUGGAAAGGGGAUCAGGGCUUUGUCAUCUCCAAAGACAGUCACUGAGGCCCUAGUUUGUGCUGCCUUUCUCAGCCUCCAAAAGCAGUGUCCUUCAAGUACUCACCGUGGACAUGUCAUAAAUGUGGGUUGAUCCCAUCAUGGCUCCCCCAACAGUGGCUGUUCUCUUCUCUGGCAACACAGUGAAGAGCUGAGGUGUCUCACUUCUGCAAAGGACAAUGGGAUCAGGCCCAAAAAGGAAGGGACAAAAGGGUCCCCAGCAGUGGAAACAAAAGAAACAGGUGGCACCACCACUCAGUGCCUUGGAGAGCUUCUGAGCUCCCCAGGGAUGCAGCCUCCAGUUCAUGGAGGCCCAUGACAGAAAAUAAUUGGGUAGGGGAGGGUGGCACAGUGCCGACUCCAGGGAACAGAGAUGGAGCUAAGGGGCCCCCUGAACCAAGUUAGGGGAUCACAGACCAGGACUCCCACAUGCAUACAAGGAUCAAAAAGUCAGAGAGCCUAAAAGUUUCCAAGAGAACUUUGGUACAGAGAAGCUGGCAAGAGAGCAGGCUGUAACAGUUCCCACCCAAAGAAUGUCAUGCCUGGAGUUCUAAUGUACACAGUUCACACUUCCAGGCCUUCCAAUGCAAGAGCCAUCCACAGCCAGUUUCACUACCAAUUUCAAGAAUUACACUAGGAACAAGAGCAAAUCUACCACUAUCACCCCAGACCAUGUCCCUCAUCUCUACCUCUCCCACUGGAAGAGGUGACAAUCUAUUCGCCACACAGGAGCCAGAGUAAAUGCCUUAAAAUGGAAGUCAGGUCUUGUCAGACCUUUGCUUAAAACCGUCUGAGGCUUCUGUCCAUUAUCUGAAUAAAAUCCAAACUCCUUACCAUGA
This is a non-coding RNA of Callithrix jacchus (white-tufted-ear marmoset), 2206 nucleotides long. The record is from RefSeq and is a predicted model, not a curated record. Lineage: Eukaryota; Metazoa; Chordata; Mammalia; Primates; Cebidae.